GGGAAACUCACCAGGUCCAGACAUAAUAAGGAUUGACAGAUUGAUAGCUCUUUCUUGAUUUUAUGGGUGGUGGUGCAUGGCCGUUCUUAGUUCGUGGAGUGAUUUGUCUGCUUAAUUGCGUUAACGAACGAGACCUUAACCUGCUAAAUAGGAGCACAUAUCUUCGGAUAAGUGCCUUUCUUCUUAGAGGGACUUUAUGUGUUUUAACAUGAGGAAGUUUGAGGCUAAAA
This 230-nucleotide ribosomal RNA is filed under the name uncultured eukaryote. RNAcentral describes it as "partial 18S ribosomal RNA". It matches the Rfam family "Eukaryotic small subunit ribosomal RNA", at positions 1208 to 1456 of the family's 1831-position model. The record is from RNAcentral.